UCUGAAAGAACUUUCUCUAGAAACUUCAGAUGAUUGAAGAUUUGAUGUUUUCAUGCUUUCCACAGGCAUUUUUGAACAUGGUAUUCAGACGAGCCAUCUUCGAGUUAGUUUUUGGAGAUGCAAUGUUGAGUAACAAGUUCAAUAAAGCUGUGGAUAAACAUGGAAACAAUCAUGAUGCUUUAUUGCAUAAUUGAAGGUGAAUACAAUUUUAUCCGAAUGUUGGCCACAGAGAAUUUUUCAGAUCAUUAUCUGCAGGUACAUUUCCUUUUUGAGGGUGGGAUUUAAGCGUCCAUGGGUCUUGAUCACUUGACAUUUGAUGAGGGUGAGAUAGUUUGGGUUGUGAAUAUCCGAUGAAAUUAAUGGAAAAUUUCUAGUCAAUACAUAAAAAAGAGAGACUGGGUUCGAUUUUUA
This is a non-coding RNA of Amborella trichopoda, 411 nucleotides long. Lineage: Eukaryota; Viridiplantae; Streptophyta; Magnoliopsida; Amborellales; Amborellaceae. The record is from RefSeq and is a predicted model, not a curated record.